RNAcentral lists this microRNA precursor (132 nucleotides) under Picea abies (Norway spruce). RNAcentral describes it as "miR11567 stem-loop (pab-MIR11567)". The record is from miRBase by way of RNAcentral. Lineage: Eukaryota; Viridiplantae; Streptophyta; Pinopsida; Pinales; Pinaceae.
UGUGAGUGUUGAAUACUUAAAUAUUCCUUUGAUAGGCCUGGCAAGCCUGUACCAUCCUUAAAAGCUUCGAAGAGGGUGGUACAGGCUUGCCAGGUCUGUUGAAGGAAUAUUCCAAGUUAUUCGAUUGUCACA